CUGGACUCUACUUCUGCUUCCACAGGCUCUCACUGCUAGAGCGGACUGAUUCCUCUCCUCACUUCCCCACAGGCAUUCCGGUCUGGUCUUCUUCCAGAAGAAGGAUCCUCGUAUCUUGAAUGUUCUUUCUCCAUCUACCCCACCAUGUCCCACCACCAUAUAUCCGAAUGGUGUGCGAUCAUCAAGGUCCACCUUUGUCACCGCUGCGAUUCCCGUGGAUCCUGCCUUCCUCGGGACUUCUCUAGAGCAGGCCUCAGCAAAAAUGUCACCUCCUCAGAGAAGCCCUCCAUGAUCACCUGUCUAAAGGGGUCUCUACCCCUGCUUGCAGUCUCAUCCACUGUCAGCCAUGUGACUGAGCCACUUCAGACACCCGGCUCAGGCCUCGAGAUGACCGUGGCUCUAGCUGAUGGCUCUAGCUGACUGUAAGGACAGGAGACUUCCACUGCGAACCACCCAGCAGAGCCUUGUCAGCUCACUGACCCGAGGGAGGUAAGCUAUUAUUGUAAGCCAGAGUGGUAGCUAAUUUCACUUCAGUACACCUACCUCACGGGGGGGGGGGGGGGGCAUCCUUCUUAUUUUUUAAUUUUUUAAAAAUUUUAAUCACUUGGUGCUCAUCACAAGUUCCCUCCUUAAUCCCCAUCGCCUAUUUCCCUGCACUCCUACCCACCUCCCCUCUGGUCACCGUCUGUUUGUUCUCUAUAGUUAAGAGUCUGUUUCUUGGUUUUUCUCUUUUUCCUUUUCCCUUAGCUCAUUUUUUUUUUUCCUUAAACUCCACAUAUGAGUGAAAUCCUACGGUGUUUGCCUUUCUCGGACGGACUUGUUUCACGUACAGUACCAUUCUCUAGCUCCGUCCAUGUCGCUGCCAAUGGCAAGAUUUCAUUCUUUUUAUGGCAGAGUAAUGUUCCAUUGUAUAUAUACUCCACACCUGUUUUAUCCGUUCAUCCGCCGAUGGACACUUGGGCUGUCUCCAUAUUUGGCUAUGGUAGAUAGAGCUGCUAUAAACAUAGGGGUGCAUGUAUCCCUCUGAAUUAGUGCUUUUUUAUUCUUUGGGUAAAUACCCUGUAGGGCGAUGGCUGGGUUGUAGGGUACUUCUAUUUUUAAGUUUUGAGGAACCGAGGAGGGACAGUCUUAUCCUCUUUAGAAACGAGGAAAUGAAGCCACAGGGAGUCUGUUUAUCCCUGCAGCCUAGAUGCUAGGACGCAUUUCUAGCCUCAUUUGGUAGAGGAUAAACUGAGGUCCUCGGUGGUGAAAAAGCUUGCCUGGGAGUCGUUGCUGGUGGCUUUGGGGUUGCUGAGAGGCCCAAAGCCCUCAAGGCCUGAGCCGCCAGCCUCCAGCCUCCAGCCUCGCCACUUUUCAGGCCUCCUGUCACAGGAGGGCCGUUUUCCAGCGGCCGUCUGCGUUUCUCACCUUCCCAGGGAGCCCCACCCUCGCCGAGCCAGCACCAGGGGCUGACAUUUUGUGAGCUGUGCUAGGAACAGGACUGGGCAAAAAUAAACUCCAGAUGGAGCAAAGAGCUAAACAAACAAAAAGAAACUAAGAUAGAAUAUUUGCGGAAUAUAUAGGAGAAUCUUUUUGUCAUCUUGGGGAGUGUCAGCCUUCCUCACCAAGUCGCCAAACCCAGAAAAGAUGGACACUCUUGACAACAUAAAAAAAAAAAAAGCCCUUCAGAUCGACAAAAGGCACACUGAAUGGAGGGAAACGCCAUCAUAGACGAGAGAAAACUUUUUCUUCGUACCUCACAAAGAGUUAAUAUUCAAACUAUUCAAUGAGAAGAAGUUAAAGUGCCGAAUUUAAAAAAUGAGCAAAGGAUGGAAGACAAUUCCGAGAAGACCACUGUAACUGGCCAUCAACCUUUAAAAACGUACUUGGCUGUAUCUUGCAUGGUAAGGGAAAGGCACUUUGUUAAAAACUCCAAUGGACAAUUUUUUUUAAAAAUUGGCGGAACCACAUGGUAUCGGGGAUGCAGGUCAAAAGGCAUUCUCAGACCUGGCUGGUAUUUGUCCACAAGGGGCUCAUGUCCACAAGGGGCAUGAAGUUUUCCCACGAACCUUCUAGAAGUGUGCCAUUCCACAGGGUAGCCAUUCACACCAGAUUUCAAAGACUUGAUAGGAAAAAGGCAAUGUAAAACACCUCAUUGCUGAUUUUCUAGGAUGGCUAACCGGUUGAAAUGAUAAUCUCCUGAUAUAUUGAA
This is a long non-coding RNA of Mustela putorius furo (domestic ferret), 2191 nucleotides long. Lineage: Eukaryota; Metazoa; Chordata; Mammalia; Carnivora; Mustelidae. The record is from Ensembl.